GACGUAGGGCGCGAGCGUUGUCCGGAUUUAUUGGGCGUAAAGAGCUCGUAGGCGGCUUGUUGCGUCGGCUGUGAAAACCCGUGGCUUAACUGCGGGCUUGCAGCUGAUACGGGCGGGCUAGAGUUCGGUAGGGGAGACUGGAAUUCCUGGUGUAGCGGUGAAAUGCGCAGAUAUCAGGAGGAACACCGGUGGCGAAGGCGGGUCUCUGGGCCGAUACUGACGCUGAGGAGCGAAAGCGUGGGGAGCGAACCGG
Molecule: ribosomal RNA, 253 nt
Filed under: uncultured bacterium
Lineage: Bacteria
Description: partial 16S ribosomal RNA
Rfam family: Bacterial small subunit ribosomal RNA
Source: RNAcentral